This is a non-coding RNA of Mycena vulgaris, 86 nucleotides long. The record is from the annotation of a GenBank genome assembly. NCBI's taxonomy places the organism in Eukaryota, Fungi, Basidiomycota, Agaricomycetes, Agaricales, Mycenaceae.
GGCCGCCUGGCGAAAUGGCAUCGCGUCUGACUACGACUUAUGAAGAUGGUAUCAGGAGAUUGCAGGUUCGACCCCUGCGGUGGUCA